Molecule: long non-coding RNA, 395 nt
Organism: Bactrocera dorsalis (oriental fruit fly)
Lineage: Eukaryota; Metazoa; Arthropoda; Insecta; Diptera; Tephritidae
Exons: 3
Source: RefSeq, a predicted model, not a curated record
CGUAGACAAUCACAAUAACUGACAACUCGGCAAUAUUCGCGUAAAAGAUUGGAAGCCACAACGUUGUACUCUAAAUACAGCAUUUUGCUGCCCCAUGUAUGAUGAGAAUACGAGGAUCGGAACACUUCCAUUGGGUCAUCGUCACUUUCUUUAGAUUGUCAACACCAUGAUCAUCAAACAGGCAGCACUUGAAGAAACUGCGUAAUGGUUUGUGCGGUUGGUAGACCCAAAAGUACAAUCUAAUAAUUAAAAGUGAAUCCAUAACCAAAUGAAUAGUGGUUGGUCAUCAUAUUAUCAUUGCAGCACACUUUAUAGCUUAGGAGGAAUUGACCGCAGGCGCUAAGGCCCAUAAACAUGUGACUGAAACGGGAUAAAAUAUUAUGAUUUACACAUAU